This 447-nucleotide ribosomal RNA is filed under the name uncultured bacterium. RNAcentral describes it as "bacterial SSU rRNA". It matches the Rfam family "Bacterial small subunit ribosomal RNA", at positions 335 to 801 of the family's 1533-position model. The record is from RNAcentral.
ACUCCUAUGGAGGGCAGCAGUGGGAGUAUUGAUGCAAUGGGGGCAACCCUGAUCCAGCCAUGCCGCGUGAGUGAAGAAGGCCCUAGGGUCGUAAAGCUCUUUCAACUGUGAAGAUAAUGACGGUAGCAGUAGAAGAAACCCCGGCUAACUCCGUGCCAGCAGCCGCGGUAAUACGGAGGGGUUAGCGUUGUUCGGAAUUACUGGGCGUAAAGCGCACGUAGGCGGACUAUUAAGUUAGAGGUGAAAUCCCAGGGCUCAACCCUGGAACUGCCUUUAAUACUGGUAGUCUUGAGUUCGAGAGAGGUGAGUGGAAUUCCGAGUGUAGAGGUGAAAUUCGUAGAUAUUCGGAGGAACACCAGUGGCGAAGGCGGCUCACUGGCUCGAUACUGACGCUGAGGUGCGAAAGUGUGGGGAGCAAACAGGAUUAGAUACCCUGGUAGCUACGAG